GUUGUUUAUGUAAGAAUUUCAAGGCCACAACUCCAUAUUUGAAGUAAAGUGCUCAUAAAAUUAAUUGCAAGGUUUUGAGAAGCCAUCUGCAGCUCACAACUAGAUGAGUGACACAAUCAGAUGUGCGUAUGCAAAAAAAAGCCUGGAGACAUUGAACUAAGAUCAAAUUUAAUGUAUUAAAUAUGGUAGAAAGAAGAGAGAAUGAAAAAUAAUGUUAACAAUCUAGGUGAGGAAUUGCUGAGGAGACAAAUUAAGUAAAUCCUGUGGAAGGAAAGAAGAAAGGAGGAAAGAGGAUUGGAUGGAAGAAUCUCCACUUCUCAUAGGUGUAGUCCUUCCUUAGCCUGCUUUUUAAUGAGUGCUGCUAAAGCCCUUAGCCUGCCUGUUUACCCUUGGAGUGGAGCAAUGAACUGAAGAUAUUUGAGUGAGUUCAAGAGAGACUCAGAAGAGAAGAAUUGGAGGCAGCAAACAUAGACAGCACUUUUAAUGCUUUUCUCAUAUGCUGUAAGACAUGAAAGCAAUCUAUUGGGAUGAAAGCUGAAAGGAGAAGCGGGACAAGAGAAGUGAAUCCGUGGAAGACCCCCAAAAGAGGCUGCAGAUUCUUAGUGGACAGCUCUCAUAUCCCCUCCAGGGAAAAUGAUGAAAAAUGUCUUCAGAAAAAUAGCUUUAUGAAGGCAAGAGGACUUUUUGCACCUGCAAGACAUGUCUGAAAGCUUCCAUCAGAUUCUUGUAAGUACCUCACUUGGCACAAGGUAGACAUGACGUUCAAGGAAGUCAACUGCGUUGCCCAAGAGUAAGAGAAGGAAUCUCUGAAGAAGAGCAACUUUUCAGACAGGUAGAGUGUGCCUUGCUCCCAAGGAAAAGAGUUCUUGAAAAAAACAAAUGGGAAACAUGGCUACAAGAAAACUGGGAAGACUGCAAGAAAAUCUCAGAAUCUGCUUGAGAAUCCGGUCCUUCUUCCUCCAUACACCCAUGGAACACUCCCAAACUCUGUAUGCUGCUCACUAAUUCUGAUUAAGGUCUUCACCCUCCCUACCUUGGAAAUUGCUACAACAUAAUUGUGUUUGUAUGUAUAAUUAAUAUAUACAAUACAUUUUAAAUGAAUAACU
Homo sapiens (human) is the source of this 1106-nucleotide long non-coding RNA. Ensembl annotates it as leucine rich repeat containing 77, pseudogene. Its record names the gene LRRC77P. Lineage: Eukaryota; Metazoa; Chordata; Mammalia; Primates; Hominidae. The record is from Ensembl.